CACUUAAAGUGAAGUUCACUCAUAAAAUGUGUCCGUCAUAAUAACGUUACAGGCUAUGCUACGCCAUACAUACCAACCCUUCCGAUUUUUCCGUGAGAAUCCCGAAUUUCAGGAGGACCCGGCCCACUUAGAUCGCGAAGGCAAGGUCCUCAGGUGGACACAACCUCUGAAUUUGGACACCCCUGGCCUGUUUCUGGCCGGACAAUAAUAACAGUGACAUUUAACUUAUUUUAUCCGAUAAAUAAACACUGUAAGAUUCAAGUUUUUUUUGUAUAUAUAUGUAUAUGUAUAUGUAUACACUGAUAAAAGCUAUUUUGGAGAGAGGUAUAUAUAAUCUAUGCAAAUCAUGUAAGAUUUACUCUAUUAUUGCACUCAGCCAAGGAAUUAUACAGUAAUGGGUUAAUUAUAUCCUUUUCCUAAGAGUAACGACAUUACAUUAAAAAAUGCAGUAAAAUAUACCCCCAAACCGUGAGUCUUAUGUUCCUAAUUGCGCAUGCGCCAGACCGCGCUUUUUGACUGAGCGGGACAGCAAGCAAAUUCUGGGUCCUUUCUUCAGCUUCCAUCAAACCCGAUCGAACCACAGAAGUGAAGGUCCUCACGUGUGUCCUUUACACGCAGAGGCUUGCUGAUCGACGACACUGUUACCAGUUCUAGGGCUGACGCACCCACCCACGUCCCCACCCCCGGUGUAUCCUUUACAGCGUAUGCGUGCCAAAGGAGGAGCUGCUGGUUCCAAGAUGAGACCUUUGCUGGACACUUUGAAAGAUCUCCCUACAGACACAGAGCAUUGAGAAGAAAAGGGAUCUUCUUAUCUGCUACCUCGGGGAAAGACAAGAAGAUCUUUUUCAUGACUGCCAGGAAUGUGAGGAUUACACAGACAAUAUGAUGAAGGUGAUCGUGAUCCACAACAUCAUGGCUGAGGAGGAUCCAUCAGAUGUGUUCAUUGUGAUUGAGGGAAACCAAGUGAUGGAGGGAUGUGGAAGCCGAACAAAGGCAUGUGUACAACUGAUGGGACUGAUAUAUGCCCUCAACCUCGAAUAUCCGAAGGAGCUGAAGAACACAUUUGACACUUUUCAAAAACUGUUUUUGGAACUUGACUGGGCGAAACCACUGAACAAGGUCCACGGCCUCAAAAAUAAGCUUAUGCAAUGCACACACAUUUCCCCUCUUGUUCCCAGAGGAUCUUUUGUCCAGACAUAGCUUGAUGGAGCUGUAAUUUUUCUUCUGACAGCAACCACAGAAACUAUUGAAUGUUGGUGUUAGUGUUCUGUUCUAUUUAUACAUAUGUUUGAUAACGUACAUGCACAGAAACAACCUUGUAGAGUUUCUGUGCUUUUGGCUUUUAAAAUGGACUAAGUGGCCUUUGAAAGUGUUGUCUGCAUUAGCUGUUGUGUUGCACUUUAUUCUGUGUUUUUAUGGAAUAAAAACAUUGAGAUGAUGAA
Molecule: long non-coding RNA, 1442 nt
Organism: Oreochromis aureus
Lineage: Eukaryota; Metazoa; Chordata; Actinopteri; Cichliformes; Cichlidae
Exons: 5
Source: RefSeq, a predicted model, not a curated record